RNAcentral lists this ribosomal RNA (472 nucleotides) under uncultured bacterium. RNAcentral describes it as "bacterial SSU rRNA". It matches the Rfam family "Bacterial small subunit ribosomal RNA", at positions 25 to 518 of the family's 1533-position model. The record is from RNAcentral.
CAGAACGAACGCUGGCGGCAGGCUUAACACAUGCAAGUUGAACGGGAAUCUGAGGAUAGCUUGCUAUCUGAGGAGGAGAGUAGCGCACUGGUGAGUAACACGUGGGAACGUACAUUGUAGUGGGGAACAACAGAGGGAAACUUCUGCUAAUACCGCAUACGCCCUGAGGGGGAAAGAUUUAUCGCUAUGAUAUCGGCCCGCGGAAGAUUAGGUAGUUGGCAGGGUAACGGCCUACCAAGACUGCGAUCAGUAGCCGGACUGAGAGGUUGAACGGCCACAUUGGGACUGAGAUACGGCCCAGACUCCUACGGGAGGCAGCAGUGGGGAAUAUUGGGCAAUGGGCGAAAGCCUGAACCCCAGCAACGCCGCGUGAAGGAAGAAGGUCUUCGGAUUGUAAACUUCUUUUAUGAGGGACGAAGGACGUGACGGUACCUCAUGAAUAAGCCACGGCUAACUACGUGCCAGCAGCGGC